Molecule: ribosomal RNA, 497 nt
Filed under: uncultured bacterium
Lineage: Bacteria
Description: partial 16S ribosomal RNA
Rfam family: Bacterial small subunit ribosomal RNA
Source: RNAcentral
GAUGAACGCUGGCGGCGUGCCUAAUACAUGCAAGUCGAGCGAACGGACGAGAAGCUUGCUUCUCUGAUGUUAGCGGCGGACGGGUGAGUAACACGUGGAUAACCUACCUAUAAGACUGGGAUAACUUCGGGAAACCGUAGCUAAUACCGGAUAAUAUUUUGAACCGCAUGGUUCAAAAGUGAAAGACGGUCUUGCUGUCACUUAUAGAUGGAUCCGCGCUGCAUUAGCUAGUUGGUAAGGUAACGGCUUACCAAGGCAACGAUGCAUAGCCGACCUGAGAGGGUGAUCGGCCACACUGGAACGGGGACACGGUCCAGACUCCUACGGGAGGCAGCAGUAGGGAAUCUUCCGCAAUGGGCGAAAGCCUGACGGAGCAACGCCGCGUGAGUGAUGAAGGUCUUCGGAUCGUAAAACUCUGUUAUUAGGGAAGAACAUAUGUGUAAGUAACUGUGCACAUCUUGACGGUACCUAAUCAGAAAGCCACGGCUAACUACGUG